UAUUUUACAACAUAGAUUGUAUUAUACAUACGUAAUAUCUAUAGAUACAUAAAGUAUCUAAACAAAAUAGAAUACAUUAAAUAUGCUAACGUGUUAUAUUUUAUAGCAAUUACUACAAAUAUUGCGUAUGUAUAUUUGUAUAUGUAUUAAUACAUAAAAUACCUAAACCUAAAUGGACUUUAAUAUAUACAGUAUUUCCCCAUUUAUAGUCCAUUUCAGUUGUAUAUGUCGGAGAUGAAAGAACACCGGAGCCUUUGGAAUUUUGGAUAAUCCCGCAACAUUGUAACCUAGAGUCUACUAUAGCUGUAAUUGAACAAUUGUAGUUAUUCAAUCCGAUUGUAAUUGUUCGAGAGUUGUGAUAGUGAGCUUGGGCUCGAGGCGACAGUCAGUCGCCGAACGUAGCCGCGGUCACGGGAUGAACGCUUUGUCUAACAAAGGUAUGGAGUAAUUCUAUAGCUCUCCUUAAAAGAAAUAUUUGUGGCGACACGCGACAGUAAACAUUCCAACGGUUUCUGUCCCGUGGCUCGCCACGUGCAGACCCUAUUCUUCGAGUAAGAUGAUUGCCAGAUGUCGAUGCGUCUCCGCAGUACAUGUUCGGCUAGCCCGAGGGCCCGUUAUAAAUCUUAAGGUUUAGUUAACUAAAGUCCUUCAAACAGACAAACAGUCUUUGUCCCAACUACGGGAAGAUAGGGGAGACAUAUUUUUCAACGAGCGGCGUCUCCCACUAGCAACUUUCCCUCGAGGGCGACUAGCAUCCUUUUCUAACCACCGAUAUGGAGAUUGACCAAUUAGCAGCAACGUCAAUUUCCCUUACUUUCUGAACGAAGGCUUUUCUCGACGAAUCCGAUGAUCUCGUAUCCUUAGACACACCCCGUUAUAGUUUUCCUGUGUGGCAUCAUCGGGACGGGAAAGGCAUUCUCGCUCGCGAUCUCAUCGAUCAAAGAGUAACGCUUUCGCGAUCAGUGAUUAUUCUCAGACUUAGACUUUGUGAGUACGUUCUGUUGUCAUCCCGUUGGCCGCGGAUUCGUUAUUUAGCCCGAGAGCAUCGUCACUAGUGUCGCGAGUGCCGAACCGCCGUGAUCAAUUGUUAAGACUGUAAUAAUUCUAUCAUUGUAAUAAACUACGCCUGUGUGUACCGUAUCAAUGGCUAA
Long non-coding RNA from Bombus huntii, 1151 nucleotides. RefSeq lists it as uncharacterized. Lineage: Eukaryota; Metazoa; Arthropoda; Insecta; Hymenoptera; Apidae. The record is from RefSeq and is a predicted model, not a curated record. The transcript is spliced from 2 exons.